AUUGAACGCUGGCGGAAUGCUUUACACAUGCAAGUCGAGCGGCAGCGCGGGGGGCAACCCUGGCGGCGAGCGGCGAACGGGUGAGUAAUACAUCGGAACGUGUCCUUCAAGUGGGGGAUAGCUCGGCGAAAGCCGGAUUAAUACCGCAUAAGCUCUGAGGAGGAAAGCGGGGGACUGGUAACGGCCUCGCGCUGUUGGAGCGGCCGAUGUCGGAUUAGCUAGUUGGUGGGGUAAAGGCCCACCAAGGCGACGAUCCGUAGCUGGUCUGAGAGGAUGAUCAGCCACACUGGAACUGAGACACGGUCCAGACUCCUACGGGAGGCAGCAGUAGGGGAAUUUUGGACAAUGGGGGCAACCCUGAUCCAGCCAUUCCGCGUGAGUGAAG
RNAcentral lists this ribosomal RNA (385 nucleotides) under uncultured bacterium. RNAcentral describes it as "bacterial SSU rRNA". It matches the Rfam family "Bacterial small subunit ribosomal RNA", at positions 29 to 410 of the family's 1533-position model. The record is from RNAcentral.